AAUAUCUCGCUUAAUCGCACUGGUGUCCUCCCCACCGGUGUGGACACAGCUUAUCCGCAAAGUUCCAGGCAGCGAAGUUCAGCGGCCCGGCCCAACCGCCGGACCUUCUUCCUGCGGCCCCCUGCUCCUGCGGCCUCGCGUCCCCACGUCUCACUUCACCUCCGACACCAGUGUCACCUAACACUGACGUCCCCGCCAGGAUCAGCAUCGGGGCUGGAAAUAGACGAGCCCCGUCUGCAGGAGACACGGAGACAAAGACAGGAGGACGGACGCACAGUCAGUCACCUCCUCCGGGCCGGGCCGGAGCAGCGGCGCCCACCCUGCAGAGGGGAGACCCUGACAGCUCCACGCGGAGACAAAGACACCUCGACAGCCACGGACACAGACAGACAAAGACGGACGGACGCGCGGACGCACGGACGGGCCAGCCCGGCACGGGGAGCUAGUUUUCCCUCAGCCAGGGCAGCAGACCCUCCAGGGGCGGGGAGACCCCCGGCCACCGCAUCUUACCUGCCCCCUGCGCCUCGGGCGCACUUGAGAUAUUUUUUUUUUUCCCAGUGUUUCCCGGUGUGUUCUCGUCUCUCUUUUUCCAGAGCUGCUAAGCGGGCCGGGCCGGUCCCACCGCGCGGGAUGCAGCUCCCGGCUCCUACUCGCCGGCCGAGGCGGGCAGAGAAACUUUCGGCCUCCCCGCCCGGCCGCUGCCAACCCGCCAGCUCCAGCGCGCCGGCCUCUGCGCGGGUCCCAGAGCCGGGGCGGGGCGGGGCGGGGCGGGGCCGGCCCGGGGCGGGGCCAGCGCCGGCGCCGCUGAUUGGCAGCGAGCUGCCGGCAGCCUGGUUUGUGCCGCUCGGCGGCCUUUGUUCCGGGCUGACAGCUGGGGCUGCUGGCGACCUCGCUGCUCCUUCGCGCCCGGGGCCUGCGCGGGGUCCCCGGUCCGGUCUCUCUGCUCUCACUUCCAUCAGCCCCAUCGGGCGACCCUGCCCCUUCGGUCUUCCUUUCUUGCCUGGCCCCCUUUCUCCGAUUGUUCCUGUCUUGCUCUUUACGCAUCCUUUUUUCCCUUUCAUUACCUGA
Molecule: long non-coding RNA, 1068 nt
Filed under: Papio anubis (olive baboon)
Lineage: Eukaryota; Metazoa; Chordata; Mammalia; Primates; Cercopithecidae
Description: lncRNA (ENSPANG00000050219.1)
Source: RNAcentral